Molecule: ribosomal RNA, 570 nt
Filed under: Triticum aestivum (bread wheat)
Lineage: Eukaryota; Viridiplantae; Streptophyta; Magnoliopsida; Poales; Poaceae
Description: partial small subunit ribosomal RNA
Source: RNAcentral
AUGUUGGGAGAGGACCUGACAAAAGAAGUAUUACAGGCGGUGAAUACAUGUUCAAUACCGGCAGGCUGGAAUGAUACUGCAGUUGUCAUGAUCCCAAAGGUUAACUCCCCAGAAAAGGUUACUCAAUUUAGACCUAUUAGUUUAUGCAAUGUGGUGUAUAAGGUUAUUUCAAAAAUGAUUGCAGCACGUCUGAAAUUAAUUUUGUCAGACAUUAUCAGCCCAACUCAGAGUGCUUUUGUCCCUGGGAGACUAAUCACAGAUAAUAUUUUGGUAGCAUAUGAGUGUUUCCACACAAUAAAACAGAAAAGAACAGGGAAUGAGGGGCUGUGUGCAAUCAAGUUGGACAUGCACAAAGCUUAUGACCGAGUGGAAUGGUCUUUUUUAAAAGCAAUUUUGGUGAAGCUGGGUUUCAAGGAAAACUGGGUGAAUUUGAUUAUGCAAUGUGUGUCCUCGAUGGAGUACAGGAUUCGGGUUAAUACAGAGGAGACCGAUAGCUUCAAACCCACUAAAGGAUUAAGGCAGGGGAUCCCCUCUCACCCUACUUAUUCCCGUUAUGUACGGAGGGCCUGA